RNAcentral lists this ribosomal RNA (520 nucleotides) under uncultured Glomus. RNAcentral describes it as "SSU rRNA". It matches the Rfam family "Eukaryotic small subunit ribosomal RNA", at positions 569 to 1089 of the family's 1831-position model. The record is from RNAcentral. Lineage: Eukaryota; Fungi; Glomeromycota; Glomeromycetes; Glomerales; Glomeraceae.
AGCAGCCGCGGUAAUUCCAGCUCCAAUAGCGUAUAUUAAAGUUGUUGCAGUUAAAAAGCUCGUAGUUGAAUUUCGGGGUUAGUAGGUUGGUCAUGCCUCUGGUAUGUACUGGUCUCACUGAUUCCUCCUUCCUGAUGAGCCGUAAUGCCAUUAAUUUGGUGUUGCGGGGAAUUUGGACUGUUACUUUGAAAAAAUUAGAGUGUUUAAAGCAAGCUAACGCUUGAAUACAUUAGCAUGGAAUAACGGAAUAGGACGUUUGAUUCUAUUUUGUUGGUUUCUAGGAUCGACGUAAUGAUUAAUAGGGAUAGUUGGGGGCAUUAGUAUUCAAUUGUCAGAGGUGAAAUUCUUGGAUUUAUUGAAGACUAACUAACUGCGAAAGCAUUUGCCUAAGGAUGUUUUCAUUAAUCAAGAACGAAAGUUAGGGGAUCGAAGACGAUCAGAUACCGUCGUAGUCUUAACCAUAAACUAUGCCGACUAGGGAUCGGAUGAUGUUAAUUUUUAAUGACUCAUUCGGCGCCUU